GCCGGGCGCAGUAGCACGUGCCUGUAGUCCCAGCCACUCGGGAGGCUGAGGUGGGAGGAUCGCUUGAGCCCAGGAGUUCUGGGCUGUAGUGCGCUAUGCCGAUCGGGUAUCCGUACUAAGUUCGGCAUCAAUAUGGUGACCUCCUGGGAGCAGGGAACCACCAGGUUGCCUAAGGAGGGGUGAACCUGCCCAGGUCAGAAGUGGAGCAGGUCAAAGCUCCCAUGCUGAUCAGUAGUGGGAUCGCGCCUGUGAAUAGCCACUGCACUCCAGUCUGGGCAACAUAGCGAGACCUCGUCUCU
This 299-nucleotide signal recognition particle RNA is filed under the name Aotus nancymaae (Ma's night monkey). Its description in RNAcentral is "Metazoan signal recognition particle RNA (ENSANAG00000004598.1)". It matches the Rfam family "Metazoan signal recognition particle RNA". Rfam says of the family: The signal recognition particle (SRP) is a universally conserved ribonucleoprotein. It is involved in the co-translational targeting of proteins to membranes. Lineage: Eukaryota; Metazoa; Chordata; Mammalia; Primates; Aotidae. The record is from RNAcentral.